RNAcentral lists this ribosomal RNA (427 nucleotides) under uncultured bacterium. RNAcentral's name for it is "partial 16S ribosomal RNA". It matches the Rfam family "Bacterial small subunit ribosomal RNA", at positions 354 to 796 of the family's 1533-position model. The record is from RNAcentral.
GUGGGGAAUAUUGCGCAAUGGGGGAAACCCUGACCCAGCGACGCCGCGUGAGGGAAGAAGGCCUUAGGGUCGUAAACCUCUGUUGUGUGGGAAGAAGAGCGUGACGGUACCACACGAGGAAGUCCCGGCUAACUACGUGCCAGCAGCCGCGGUAAUACGUAGGGGACGAGCGUUGGCCGGAUUUACUGGGCGUAAAGGGAGCGUAGGCGGUCAUUUAAGGCAGCUGUGAAAUGGUUUGGCUUAACCGGAUCAUGAGUGUGAAACUGUGUGACUGGAGUGCGGGAGAGGCAAGUGGAAUGCCCAGUGUAGCGGUGAAAUACGUAGAUAUUGGGAAGAACACCGGUGGCGAAGGCGACUUGCUGGCCAGCAACUGACGCUGAGGCGCGAAAGCCAGGGGAGCAAACGGGAUUAGAAACCCGUGUAGUCC